RNAcentral lists this ribosomal RNA (703 nucleotides) under uncultured fungus. RNAcentral's name for it is "bacterial SSU rRNA". It matches the Rfam family "Eukaryotic small subunit ribosomal RNA", at positions 299 to 993 of the family's 1831-position model. The record is from RNAcentral. Lineage: Eukaryota; Fungi.
UCAAAUAUCUGCCUAUCAACUUUCGAUGGUAGGAUAGAGGCUACAUGGGUUUUGACGGGUAACGGGGAAUAAGGGUUCGAUUCCGGAGAGGGAGCCUGAGAAACGGUACCACAUCCACGGAAGGCAGCAGGCGCGCAAAUUACCCAAUCCCGACACGGGGAGGUAGUGACAAUAAAUAACAAUAUAGGGCCCUUUUGGGUCUUAUAAUUGGAAUGAGUACAAUUUAAAUCCGUUAACGAGGAACAAUUGGAGGGCAAGUCUGGUGCCAGCAGCCGGGUAAUUCCAGCUCCAAUAGCGUAUAUUAAAGUUGUUGCAGUUAAAAAGCUCGUAGUUGAACUUCAGACCUGACCGGGCGGUCCGCCUAACGGUGUGUACUGUCUGGCCGGGCCUUACCUCUUGGUGAGCCGGAUGCCCUUCACUGGGGUGUGUACGGGGAACCCAGGACCUUUACCUUGAGGAAACAUUAGAGUUGUUCCAAAAGGCAGGGCUUACGGCCCGGGAAUACAUUAGCAUGGAAUAAUAACAUAGGACGUGCGGUUCUAAUGGAGGGGACUAGAGUCGCGGAAUGCUUAAUAGGGAUAGUUGGGGGCCAUUCUGUAUUGCGUGCUAGAGGUGAAACUUCUUGGGAUUACGCAAGAACAAACAUAAUGGGAAAGCAUUAUGCCAGGGAUGUUUUCAUUGAAGUCCAGGAAACGAAGGGUUA